RNAcentral lists this ribosomal RNA (492 nucleotides) under uncultured bacterium. Its description in RNAcentral is "partial 16S ribosomal RNA". It matches the Rfam family "Bacterial small subunit ribosomal RNA", at positions 29 to 507 of the family's 1533-position model. The record is from RNAcentral.
AGUGAACGCUGGCGGUAGGCCUAACACAUGCAAGUCGAACGGCAGCACAGUAAGAGCUUGCUCUUACGGGUGGCGAGUGGCGGACGGGUGAGGAAUACAUCGGAAUCUACUUUUUCGUGGGGGAUAACGUAGGGAAACUUACGCUAAUACCGCAUACGACCUACGGGUGAAAGCAGGGGAUCUUCGGACCUUGCGCGAUUGAAUGAGCCGAUGUCGGAUUAGCUAGUUGGCGGGGUAAAGGCCCACCAAGGCGACGAUCCGUAGCUGGUCUGAGAGGAUGAUCAGCCACACUGGAACUGAGACACGGUCCCGACUCCUACGGGAGGCAGCAGUGGGGAAUAUUGGACAAUGGGCGCAAGCCUGAUCCAGCCAUACCGCGUGGGUGAAGAAGGCCUUCGGGUUGUAAAGCCCUUUUGUUGGGAGAGAAAAGCAGCAGGUUAAUACCCCGCUGUUCUGACGGUACCCAAAGAAUAAGCACCGGCUAACUUCGUG